RNAcentral lists this ribosomal RNA (862 nucleotides) under uncultured archaeon. RNAcentral describes it as "bacterial SSU rRNA". It matches the Rfam family "Archaeal small subunit ribosomal RNA", at positions 21 to 903 of the family's 1478-position model. The record is from RNAcentral.
GGCGACCGCUUUGGGAGUUCGAUUAAGCCAUGCGAGUCGUGAGUCUUAGGGACUCGGCAUACUGCUCAGUAACACGUGGAUAACCUGCCCUAUCGUCUGGAAUAACCUCGGGAAACUGAGAAUAAGGCCGGAUAGUUCACAAUGCCUGGAACGGUUUGUGAAUCAAGGUAGGAUGGGUCUGCGGCGUAUCAGGUUGUAGGGGGUGUAAAGGACCCCCUAGCCUUCGACGCGUACGGGUGUUGGGAGACAUAGCCCGGAGAUGGAUUCUGAGACACGAAUCCAGACCCUACGGGGUGCAGCAGGCGCGAAAACUUCACACUGCAGGAAACUGUGAUGAGGGAACUCCUAGUGCAUGCACUAUGUGUAUGUAGAUCCUACUCUUAACAAGUAGAGGGAAAGGGCUGGGAAAGACCGGUGCCAGCCGCCGCGGUAAUACCGGCAGCUCAAGUGGUCGUCGCUUUUAUUGGGCCUAAAACGUCCGUAGCCUGUUUGGUAAAUCUGUGGGUAAAUCAAUCCGCUCAACGGAUUGAAUUCUGCAGAGACUGCCAGACUAGGGACCGGGAGAGGUGUGGGGUACUCGAGGGGUAGGGGUAAAAUCCUGUCAUCCUUCGAGGACCACCAGUUGCGAAGGCGCCACACUGGAACGGAUCCGACGGUCAGGGACGAAGUCUAAAGGCACGAACCGGAUUAGAUACCCGGGUAGUCCUAGGUGUAAACGCUGUGAACUUGGUGUCGGGGGUCCGCAAGGGGUCCCCGGUGCCGGAGUGAAGAUGUUAAGUUCACUGCCUGGGGAGUACGGUCGCAAGGCUGAAACUUAAAGGAAUUGGCGGGGGAGCACUGCAACGGGAGGAGCGUGCGGUUU